Molecule: unclassified non-coding RNA, 335 nt
Organism: Pteropus vampyrus (large flying fox)
Lineage: Eukaryota; Metazoa; Chordata; Mammalia; Chiroptera; Pteropodidae
Gene: 7SK
Rfam family: 7SK RNA
About the family: 7SK was discovered as an abundant small nuclear RNA in the mid-70s but a possible function has only recently been suggested.
Source: Ensembl
AGAUGUGAGGACGACCUGGUUGCGACAUCUGUCACCCAUUGAUCGCCAGGGUUGAUUCGGCCCAUCUGGCUGGUUAGUCAGCUGUCUCCUUCCUCCCUCACCACUCCAUGAGAAUCCCUCCCCAAGCUGCCCCGUGCUGGCUGGAAGAGGAUGCCUGUGCUCCAUAGAGCAGAGGUCCGUUCUUCCGUCAAGGGUACACGAGGAGCUGCGCUCCCCCGCUGGGACCGCCAAACAAGCUCUCAAGGUCCAUUUGUAGGAGAACGUAGGGUAGUCAAGUUUCCAAGACUCGAGAAACAGCCAAAUAAGCCGCUGCAUGUGGCAGUCUGCCUUUCUCA